GGAGGUAUAGCUCAGUGGUAGAGUGUGUGCAUAGCACGUACGAGGCCCUGGGUUCAAUCCCCUGUCCCUCCA
This 72-nucleotide transfer RNA is filed under the name Camelus bactrianus (Bactrian camel). It matches the Rfam family "tRNA". Rfam says of the family: Transfer RNA (tRNA) molecules are approximately 80 nucleotides in length. Their secondary structure includes four short double-helical elements and three loops (D, anti-codon, and T loops). RNAcentral also lists the same sequence under 2 other names. The record is from Rfam by way of RNAcentral. Lineage: Eukaryota; Metazoa; Chordata; Mammalia; Artiodactyla; Camelidae.